UUAAGUUCAGCGGGUAUUCCUACCUGAUCCGAGGUCAACCUUGUAAAAUUUGGGGGUUUUACGGCCGGAACAAGCCACGACUUCCAGGGCGAUAUGUUACUACUGCGCCCGGAGUUAUAGCGAGCCCGCCACUGAUUUUGGGGGCCCACGGUGUCCCGUGGUGCCCCAACACCAAGCAGAGCUUGAGGGUUGAAAUGACG
This 200-nucleotide unclassified non-coding RNA is filed under the name Sordariomycetes sp. Its description in RNAcentral is "partial internal transcribed spacer 2". Lineage: Eukaryota; Fungi; Ascomycota; Sordariomycetes. The record is from RNAcentral.